This 82-nucleotide transfer RNA is filed under the name Schistocerca americana (American grasshopper). RNAcentral describes it as "tRNA-Ser". It matches the Rfam family "tRNA". From Rfam's summary of the family: Transfer RNA (tRNA) molecules are approximately 80 nucleotides in length. Their secondary structure includes four short double-helical elements and three loops (D, anti-codon, and T loops). The record is from RNAcentral. Lineage: Eukaryota; Metazoa; Arthropoda; Insecta; Orthoptera; Acrididae.
GCAGUCGUGGCCGAGUGGUUAAGGCGUCUGACUUGAAAUCAGAUUCCCUCUGGGAGCGUAGGUUCGAGUCCCGCCGACUGCG